UUUCAAACACAUACAUGCAAUAAACUUUGAAAAUCAUGUACUACAUCAACUAAACUAAUAAAGCAAAUUGCUUCAAAUUGUGCACUAAAUAUGAACUUUACAAAAUCAAAUGUAUUGUCCAAAAGUCUUUAUCAUUAACUUCAAAUGGAUCAAACUGACUUUGGCCACCACUUUCAAUUGCAUCACAAGAAUUUUCCUUGAUCUAGAACUGAUAUUCAAUACAACAAAGGCCUGCAAAACAACAUGUGCGCGUUAUUUACUUAACUAUAGUUCACACACCAGGUGCACUUGCCAAAAAUGCUGCAUUGGUGGUAACAUAACAUCAUAAAAAUACAAUAAGAUGAAAACAUACAAUCAGAUCAAAAGCUAUGCUACGUUUCUAUUUUUUAUGGACUAUGGUGACUCAAAAACAGAACCCUUUGGCCAGAAAGUGAACCAGUCUAAGGAAAGGCUAUAUCAGGGUGGUCAACAAAGAAAAAAGUUGUGAUCAUCCGAAAUAUCAAUGACUUGCAUUCUUAAAGCAAGUCUACGUACUCACCCAACUGAGAGAACAUAAUUAUUUGGGGAAGCAAGUUAAGGGAAGAAGAGCAAGCAGCGAUGCUUUUGAUGGCUCUUUCUUGUGGAUAUGUCUACGUUUAGGACAUUAUUACUCCUCUUCCCAAUAAAACAAACCAUCUCUAGCUCUAUGUCCUAGCAGUAGCACCGAGUGGAAACCCCUUAUAGUCAUUAAAAAGAGAUCCAAAAGGUGAUAAUAAUGCAUAAAAGAGAAGUCCGCAUCCCAAGAAUAGUACUAACAUCUUGCUUUAGCAGGUAUAAACAAUAUAAAAAAGUACCUUUUCAAGAAUUAUUCUAUGAGUUUGAUCCAGAUAAAUCUGAAAGAUUUUUGGUCUCUCGCAACCUAUGCAUUACUUGAAUCAACCUAGAAGGAUAAGGUAUCUAACACGCAUCUAAAUGACAUAUGAUGAAGUUAUAAAUUAUAAGUACCUUGACUGAUUCUAUUAUUCCUUCAGCUUGAGUAAUACUAGCGAAAAGUAAACCCCUUUGCUGUCGCGGUCACCAUUCUUCAUUUUCAUUGGCACAACAUACCUAUAAAAGAAAAGAAUAAUGUCAAAUCUUUAGUUAGAAACGUUAUUGGAAGCAUGUUUGUGCAGAAACGGGGAAAAGAAAACAUUUCAGCACAUGUAAUUUUUCAUUCUCUCUCACAUGAUAUGAGAAUUUUUUAACAAACACUAAUGAACAAUUACAUUAGCACAAGCCUGGCUUUAGAUUUCAAUCAAUACAUACUUUCAUAAAGGAGACUUGCAAGUUGAAUCACAUCUUCUUGUUGGUAACCACUGCAAAGUUUGAUAGAAGACAAGAAAUUCUUGGAUCAUCCAUUCUCAAAAGAAGUUGCGAUAGACACAAGAUAACAGUGUCUAGUAAUGGCUCCCCUAAGCUCGAUACUACAAAAAGCAAGAGUAACGGUUAGGCACGAAAGAGUUAGUCUACAAUUGUAUCAAACCAGUGAGGUCAGUAAUUACGUAGAUGUCUUAUCAUUUACAAAAAGUAGCAGCACCAGAGAAACAGGGACAAUAUCCAUGUGCAGUGAAACAUUUUCUUUGAGAGGCAAAAUCACUUAAGACGCAUAUAGAAUAAUUUAUACUUAAAGAGAGGCAAAUCAUAGAGUUCCAACAGUGAAGGUUUUUGUUUUUCAGGGGAGGGGGAGGCCAAUAAUUUCUUCACUCUGUCCGAUAAUUUCUUCACUCUGUUAACGAGACAUGAGAGCAAGAGCCACUAUGCUACAAUAGAAACUAAUAAUUGUAUAUAGUUUCUUUUCUUACUAAAAAAAAGGGUAGCCCCGUGUCGGAUCCUUCAAAAAUGCACUACUUUUGGAGGAUCCGACACGUAUCCUCCCACAUUUUCGGAGAGUCUACGCAACACAACAUAGGGUCAAUCAAGUUGAGUUCCAUAAAAGAACUGUGGUGCAGCUAAAUUCCUGAGUUUUGUAGCAUUUUAUCAUUCAAGAGGAAAGUUCAAAUACCUUUGGCAAUUCCCUACUUCUUUCGUUUCCCAGAACAAACAAAACAAAAUUUUAAAAAAAGAAUUGAAAGAAAUAAAAGUAUUUAUAUGUAGGUGAAACAUUUUAGACGAUAAAGCCAGUAUUAAAAAAAUUUAGUAUAAUGAUUUCAAACCUCUCAUGCUACAUUAUGGACUAGAUAGGAACACAAUUAGAAGGGUGAAGAAGGGGCAUAACAAACAACGAUCAAUCAAAAAGUGGCUGACUCUGUAGCAAAUGGUAGGUGGGACACAGAGGCUUUGCUGCAAAUGGUAGGGUGAUGAAGUGUGGUAAGACAUGUACUCAUAAUUAGGUACCUGGAUAUCCAAUUAACCCAGGUAUUUGGAUGCUAAUGGAAUCUGCUAUGGUUCUCAACUCACCAGCAUGGGAUCUGGUUAGGAGAUGUAAAGAGGAAAAUUACACAUAUAAGAUGAGCUUUUUUGCUAUGGAGGAUAUGGAAUAGGAGCUAACUCUAGAUGACAUUUUGCAGCAAAGAGGAGUCUUCGAGAUGUUGGUGCUGCACGACGCCUCAAAGGGAGACAAUACAACAUUUAUGCCUUCACGCUCCAGCAGCUUUUGAGGUAUGGCACUAUUUCACAACAGCUUGUGGUUCCAACAAGAGAGGAAAUACAUCACAACAAGCUUGUUUACUUUGGUGGAAAAAAGAGGACAUCACCUCUCAUGCUGCUGUGGAGCUACCACCUCAUGCGAGAAAUUUAUAAGAUAGUAAUGUUAUGAACAUCACCCAGAUAAGAACUAAGGAAACUACUUGUAAUUACAAGAGCUUGUUUUCCCUGGAGUGAAGGGAAUGGUGCAUGCAACAACACUCUGAUCAUGAAAGAACAUUGCAGUUUUUUCUAUGGGAGUGAAGCGCAAUAAUAGCAUACUAACAUGAAGUAGUGCAGUUUAAGUUUUAGAUAAAUCUUGUAAUGGAAUAAACUGUGAUUUCCUUGGAAACUAAAGUUAUAGCAGUUUGGUAUGACAGAUCAUAAGCAGACUGAUCCUAUACACAACAACACAAGAUAGUGAACAAGAAUAUUCUUUAAACAAGAAAAGGCCAAAACAGAACAUCAAGAGAAAAUGAAGAACCUAAUUUAACACAGAAACACUAUAGGAAGCAACAACAGAAGCAGCAAAAUACUUUGGAUAAAAGAGAAUAGAAGUGCUGCAGAUAUUAAUAAUUGGAAUUUUUUUCCAUUUUGAGCUAAAAAUAAUUUCCCAAAGGAUUGUUCAAAACUGUUCAUUGGUAUUGCGAUUUUCUCUAUAACGCUUUGCCCUCAUACCUUGGUAUAGUUGGGUUUAUUGACUUCUGACUAAAGGCACAAUCAGUCAAACUAAUACUACUGCAUAAAUUCUCAGUCAUCUACUUAAAAAAAUUUAUACAGCUUUCUGAAGAAUGUCUACAAAUACAGGUUAACAUUAAUAUUAGCUGUCUCUGGCUCCAACAUUUGGUGGACAACCAAAAAUAGCUGGUCAUCCUUUGCAGCACAACCUUAUCGUCAGGUACAUGUUGUUGUUGGUAAAAUGUGUACUCAUAAUUAGGUAUCAUUUUUUUUUUUUGAUAAGAUAAAAGUUUAUUAAUAAAGGUACCAAGAAGGUACUCAAAUUACAACCAAACAAGACAGACCCUAUAACAAUCUCUAGUUACAUAUUUCCAAGUGAGUCUAAAAAUUACAUAUACUGAUCAAUACUCUCUAGAAUACUCCUUUUACACCAAAAAAGCGGAUUUUGCAUACAAAGGUUCCUGACUCUAGAGAUGUGGUUCCUUUUAUUCUCGAAACAAGCAUUAUUCUUCUCUGUCCAAAUAGUCCAGAAGACGCAUAAAGGGAUUGUUCUCCAGAUCUGCUUUUGUAUCCUUCCAAUCCUCUGCCCGUUCCAGCUCUCCAACAAGCUCUUAACAUCUGACGGCAUAACCCAAGCUACACCACACGUAUUUAGGACAAGCUCCCAGCAUUGCUUAGCAAACUUACAAUGAAUAAAAAGAUGAUUGACUGAUUCCAAAUCCUCUUCACAUAGAUAACAUCUGUUGCUUAAAGAAAAACCUCCCCUUUGCAAAUUGUCUUGGGUUAAGCAUGCUUUCCUAUAGACAAUCCACCCAAAACAGGCUACCUUAACAGGUGCUUUGGUCUUCCAUAGUAUUUUCCAAGGCCAAUUUGACUCAAAGUGUUCAGAUUGUUUCUGAAGAAGGUUAUAGCAGCUUUUAACAGAGAACUUCAAUUCAUUGUUCGCUGUCCAGAUCAUAGAAUCCUCUUUAUCCUCUUCUACCAUUGCUGUACCCAGUAGAUGUAAAAAUUGCCCCACCUCCUCCAUCUCCCAAUCAUUAAAGUCUCUUCUGAAUCUUAAUUGCCACCCAUUAGAGGAGUAGAAAUCAGAAACACUACCAUCUCUAUUAAAAGAAAUAUUGAAUAGAGUUGGGAAUCUGUUUUUCAAGCUUACCUCCCCCAGCCAAACUUCAGACCAAAAUUUUAUUUUGGCACCAUUUCCCAGUUUCAAUUUUGUGUGCUGCUGAAACUCAGUCCACAAUCUGCUUAUGUUACUCCAAAUACUACCUCUUGAAGCACUUUGGGCAAUAGGAGGGCACCAUAUAUCCUUCUUCACAUACUUUGCAUUUUUCAAAUUCUUCCAAGUUUUUUUCCUUACCAUCAUUAUACCUCCACAACCAUUUAAAUAAUAAACUCUUAUUAUGUAUUCUCAGAUUUCUAACCCCCAAGCCUCCCCCUUUCUUAUCAAUCAUUACCCUCUGCCAUUUGACCAAAUGAAACUUCUUUUUAUCUGCCAUGCCUUCCCAUAGGAAAUUACUUCUUAGGACAUUUAAUUUCUUCUCAACAUACGCAGGCAAUUGAAACAUAGACAUUAAGUAUGUUGGAAUUCCAUCCAAUACACUGCUUCCUAAAGUAAGUCUACCCCCAAAAGAUAGAUAUUGCUUUUUCCAUGGAGUCACCUUACUGUUACAUCUAUCCAGUACCCCUUGCCAUAUUCUUUGAUUAUUCUUCUUAGCACCCAACGGUAGCCCCAAAUAAGUUGUAGACAAUUGCUCCACCUUACAUCCCAACACCUCCGCUAAAUCUUCUAUACAAUUGUCUGCAUUAAUACUAAACAAGCUACUUUUUGACAGAUUCACCCUCAAUCCUGUCACUGCUUCAAAAAUCAAUAGAAUCCCUCUCAGAUAGAAGAAUUGUUCUCUAUUUGCUUCACAAAUAAUCAGUGUGUCAUCUGCAUACAAUAUAUGAGAAAUGUUACAUUUUACCCCUCCUCUUCUUCCAACCUGCAACCCCCUGAUUCACCCUAAUUGCUCAGCUUUUUUUAGCAUUCUGCUAAGUAUUUCCAUGAUCAAAACAAAUAGAUACGGGGAUAGAGGGCCCCCCUGCCUUAGCCCUUUGGAAGAACUAAAGAAAACUUGAGGACUUCCAUUGAUGAGCACUGAAAAUCUUAUAGUGGAUAUACAAUAUUCAAUCCAUUUCAACCAUUUUUCACCAAAAUUCAUCUGUCUCAUGAUACAUAUUAAACAAGCCCAAUUGACAUGAUCGUAUGCCUUCUGAAGGUCCAAUUUACAAAGUACCCCUUGCCUUUUAUUUCUCACCAAGUAUUCCACACAUUCAUUUGCAACCAUAGAAGCAUCAACUAUUUGCCUCCCCCUAAUAAAUGCAUUUUGAUUAUCGGAGAUUAGCCUUCCUAUCACCAAUUUAAGUCUUUCUGCCAUCAAUUUAGCAAUAAUUUUAUAGACACUCCCCAAAAGACUAAUUGGCCUGUAAUCUUUAAUUUCCACUGCAUCCAUUUUUUUUUUUUUGGAAUUAAAGCUAUAAAAGUGGCAUUGAAACUUUUAGCAAAGUUUCCUUCUUGGAAAAAUAGUUUCACCGUUUCCCAGACAUCUCUCUUGACUGUAUUCCAGCAUUUCUGAAAAAAAUGAAGAUUGAAUCUAUCUGGACCUGGUGCCUUGUCUCCUUUAAAGAGUUUUAUCACCCAGAUUAGAACUAGGGAAACUACUUGUUUUCGCUGCUAUCUACCUUUAUGAUCAUUCACUAUAAACCAAAUACAUAAGUACCAGGCUUGAUGACUUGGUUUUUUUUCUUUAAAAAAUGUUAUAGAAAUUAAUGCUGCAAAGGAAGGAGUAAAAAAAGCAAAUUAACUUGAGUGAAGAGAAUGGUGCAUCUGCAACAACACUCCAAUCUUGCAAGUAAGUUGCAGUUAUUUCAAUGGGAGUGAAGCGCAAUAGUAGCAUACUAACACUGAAACAAAGCAAAGCUAUAGUUUCAGUUUUAGAUAAAUCUUGUAAUAUAAUAGUGUGUGAUUUCCUAGGAAACUAAAGUUUUAGCAGUUUGAUAUGACAGAUCAUAAGCCGGCUGAUCUUAUACACAACAAGAAAACAUAGUGAACAAGAAUAUUCUUUAAACAAGAAAAGGCCAAAACAGAACAUCAAGAGAAAAUGUCAAACAGAUAAAAGAAACAGGACAUCAACAAAUGGGCAAAAGCAAAGUAGGGCAUCUUUCAUAAUUGAACUCUUCAUUAUAAACAAUAAGAAUGAACUCUAAGAGUCACAGGGACCUUGAGAAAAAGACACCACCUACACUGAAUAUGUGCAGACCUUUGACUAUUCCACUAGUAUAUGUUCUUGAUAACCUGCCCAUCAAAGUCAGGCAGAUGAGAUUUCUUCCCUUAAUUCCCACCUUUUUGCUUACUUGCCUAACCACCAAAUCAACCCCACCCCCCCAAAAAAAAGAGAAAUAGAUAAACGCAAUCAAAAGUUGGAACUAACCCUGCCUCCAGGGAUUUGAUUCAGCGGUAAGGACGCAGAACUUAAAAUGAAGGUCAGACAUAUGUCACGAGUUAAAACCCGGUAAAUGAUUGAAACUUGGUAUGUAAGUGGGAGCAAGGUAGAGAGACGAGCCCAUAGCCCUCAGAGUUCCGGACCUGUAAGCACAUUAGAGUUAGGCCAGCUAACACACAGGGUAUUCUCGGUUUUGAAAGAAAAAAGAAAAAUUGGAUUCUAU
RNAcentral lists this long non-coding RNA (7023 nucleotides) under Nicotiana tabacum (common tobacco). RNAcentral describes it as "long non-coding RNA (NTAB_LNC016421)". The record is from RNAcentral. Lineage: Eukaryota; Viridiplantae; Streptophyta; Magnoliopsida; Solanales; Solanaceae.